RNAcentral lists this ribosomal RNA (253 nucleotides) under uncultured bacterium. Its description in RNAcentral is "partial 16S ribosomal RNA". It matches the Rfam family "Bacterial small subunit ribosomal RNA", at positions 524 to 776 of the family's 1533-position model. The record is from RNAcentral.
UACGAAGGGGGCUAGCGUUGCUCGGAAGCACUGGGCGUAAAGGGUGCGUAGGCGGGGCUUUCAGUGAGGGGGGAAAUCCUGGAGCUCAACUCCAGAACUGCCUUUGAUACUGAAGAUCUUGAGUUCGGGAGAGGUGAGUGGAACUGCGAGUGUAGAGGUGAAAUUCGUAGAUAUUCGCAAGAACACCAGUGGCGAAGGCGGCUCACUGGCCCGAUACUGACGCUGAGGCACGAAAGCGUGGGGAGCAAACAGG